This is a small nuclear RNA of Bombyx mandarina (wild silkworm), 166 nucleotides long. Lineage: Eukaryota; Metazoa; Arthropoda; Insecta; Lepidoptera; Bombycidae. The record is from RefSeq and is a predicted model, not a curated record.
AUACUUACCUAGUAUAGGGAUACCGUGAUCAUGCAGGCGGUUCCCCGGGGUGCGGCUGCUCCAUUGCACUGCGGAGUAGUGCGGAGUGGUUGACCCUUGCGAUUAUUUUUAUAUUUUAUAAGUUUCACUUGGACCGUGUGUGACUAGUGACUUGCACACACACACA